Pseudophryne corroboree (corroboree frog) is the source of this 685-nucleotide long non-coding RNA. RefSeq lists it as uncharacterized. The record is from RefSeq and is a predicted model, not a curated record. NCBI's taxonomy places the organism in Eukaryota, Metazoa, Chordata, Amphibia, Anura, Myobatrachidae. The transcript has 3 exons.
UGAGAGGGGAGCAAGGCGCAGAUACUGGGGGAGAGAAGGUGUCCGGUGCCGGUGUCUACGGGACUGGAGUAAUCAGCACUGGUUGGAGGUGGCAGCGGCGUGGUGACAGAGAAUGCAGAAAGCUCAUGUGUCGGGGAGCUGGAGCCGAACUUUGUUGAACUUUGACAGUUGCAUUGGAGUCCUGAGGAAGAAGGAGCACACAGGAGGAGCACUAGGAAGAGAGGUAUCAACAAAAAUGAGGUAAUCCAUAGAUUCCUAACUGGACUUGAUUUGCAGCUCUUGAUUAUGCAUUUUCCAUUCAAAUAAAAACCACAAUCCUGCGCACAAUGCCAUAUCGUCAGAGAAGAGAGAAAAGGAUUUGAGAAUCCCUAGUAAUAAUUGGCACACUAAAAAGCAGCCCACUGAUUGAUUCACCAAAGAUGAACCUCACCAAAAGUUCAAAAGACAGUAACACUUUACACAACAAUUUAUAGGACUCAAUUGGAAGGCGCUUCUUAACAAUAAAAAAUGCAAUUUUAGAACAUAAAAUACAUCCCUGUUGUGGAUGGAAAGGAUCUUCGUUGAACAAUGCAAGAGUCUUUUUUCCUUUAGCAGGUGUCUUCUCUCAAGGUGGUGUCAGCAUGUAAAAAGACAAUAAUACAUAUAUGUGUAGUAAAGUUUUUAAUCAAUAAACUACUACAGUCUU